CAUGUCUUUUUGAUAUUAAUUUAAGGUCUAAUCUGCUCAGUGAAAAUUUAAAUAGCCGCAGUAUCCUAACUGUGCAAAGGUAGCAUAAUAAUUAGUUUUUUAAUUGGAAGCUGGAAUGAAUGAUUGAACGAGAAAAUAACUGUCUCUUUAUAAUUAUUAUUGAAUUUAACUUUUAAGUUAAAAGGCUUAAAUGAUUUUAAAAGACGAGAAGACCCUAUAGAGUUUUAUUUGUUUGUGAAAAGGUUGGGAUAUUUAAUUUCAAUACAAAUUUAGUUGGGGUGACUGAAAGAUUAAAUAAACUCUUUUAAUUUUAAUCAUUGAUUGAUGAAUUUUAAAUCUUUAUUUAAAAAAUUAAAUUAAAUUACCUUAGGGAUAACAGCGUAAUUUUUCUUUAGAGUUCUUAUUGAAAGAAGAGUUUGCGACCUCGAUGUUGGAUUAAAAUAAAUUUUUGGUGUAGAAGCUAAAAUAUUAAGUCUGUUCGACUUUUAAAAUUUUACAUGAUCUGAGU
Molecule: ribosomal RNA, 508 nt
Filed under: Lampyridae sp. UPOL RK0387
Lineage: Eukaryota; Metazoa; Arthropoda; Insecta; Coleoptera; Lampyridae
Description: partial 16S ribosomal RNA
Rfam family: Bacterial large subunit ribosomal RNA
Source: RNAcentral